GAAGGGCAAUCCCAGAUUGCUGGGUGAAAAGAGCCAUUUUUCUUGUUUACAAGAAAACUGGUUGAAGAAUCCAAUCUCCUCUCAAGUAUCUUUUCCUUGAGUGAAAAACUCUCAAAAAACAAAAAAGCAGGAAUUAGAUAAGUCCUGGAUAGAUCAAGGAAGGGGGGUAUAAGCACGUGGAGGGAGGUUUCCUUGGCUUGCUGACUACUCGUCUGGAUUCCCCUUCGUCUUGAGAAGUGUGGUAAUAUCACUCAGCCUGCUUGGAAUGUUGGACUGUUUUGAAGCUGGUUUGUUUUCAUGGUUAGAACAACGUUUCCGUUUGUGUCUGCAUCUAAGCGCUUUUUUUCUGUGUUUAUUAUUUUUAGCAGUUUAAAAGCUCACCAUAGAAAGCAGGCAGGGGUAGCGUGCAGGCCUGGCCCUGGCCUGGUGGAGUCUUUGGAAGUGUUGGCUGGCAUCACAGCAGAGGUCUUUGAAUGAAGCCUUUGUGCCUCCCUUUGCCUGUGGCCUCCAGCCUAUUGUCUAGGCUUCUUGGUGCUGGUGUUGUCUGAUGGUAACCACUACUAACGUUACAGUCCUCCGUGCCCAAGCUCUCCCUUGGGAGCCCCCAAUCUGGCUGUCUCUGCUCCCUAGUCCUCCUCCAGGGCUGUCACUACUCUCUCGCAGUAAACAGUACUGCUAAUUUAUGGACUGUCAUGAAAAUGGGAUCACUUAAGAACCUUGAGAUUUGUGGUUCUUUAAUACAAAAACCCAAUGAUGACUAUUUCCCAUGCUGCUAACAUUUACAUUAAUCAUUUCCCCUUUCCCAAAUUCAGCUUUUCAGUGAGCCCCAAUUUCCACAACAUUGAAAGGGACAGCUAUGCUGUUUGAGGAUAAGAAGGGUAGCUAUGAACCCCCUACCUCUGCUUCUUCCUCAUCUCUCCCCCAAUACAACUGUCAUCUGAAGUCCUCCACUGCAAAGAAAACCCCAUGAGACCUGAGAAAAUCCACAUACCACAAGUCCCUGCACGAUGGCCCUUCAAUUUCAGACACAGAAGCCAUAGGGGUUUCUCUACAUGCUCAAACCAUAAAGCAUUGGACCCAAAGGAGCAAUCUAUGAAUCCAUUUUUAUAUAGUUCUAGAAAAGGCUUGGUCAAUCCAUAGUAACAGGAAGUAGUCACCAUUACCUCAGGGAGAAGGGGGCAUUGGUGAGGGGCCAGAAGCACAAGGAAGUUGUCUGAAAUGACGAGAUGCUGUAUACCUUUCUAGAGUGUACCCCACAUGGCCAGUGCCAAAAAUCACCCGUGCAUUCAACACUAAGAAUUGUCAUUCAAUGAGCUAGAAAGAUAAAGAGGAGAAGAACAUAAAGUGAAAAUAUAAGGUCCAGAUAUUUGCACCUGAACAACUUCUUAAAGGUUCAUGGGCUACAUUGUAGCCCUAGUCCUCAACACAGUUCCUGAGGUUUGGGGACACCUGUUGUCUAUGCAGUGUCUUCCUAGCCCAAUAGUUACCCACCUAAAAUAAUAGGAAUAGCUCUGUUUUUUAAAAUCUUCACCUACUCCUUUAGAUGCUUUUCAGUGACUAUAAAAUGCAAGAUUGCAUUCAUCACAGCAGGCACUGGUUAAAAAAAAAAAGUAGGCCUCUGUGUUAUCUCUAAAAGAGCAGCUCGUGGAUUCCACAACUUGCUCUUGACUACCUCCCUACCCUACAUCCUCCUAUGACAUUUCACCUUCUCUCAAGCCCCUUCCUCAGCCUGAAACACUUCAGACAGUUCUCCUUAAAUCUCUCCAUGUCUUUAUUUAGAGGUUGAGCAGAAGGUGACAUUGAAAUGUAGCUAAGGACUUAGACCAAGCAAGAGGCCUCCAGGCCUACCUCAGGAGGAAGUAGCAAGAAAAGGGACCCAUGAGAGGGUAUCUCAGGGAGAUGCGUCCCACCCAGCCUUUGAGGCCAUCACUUUGGAUAGAACAGACUUUCUGGGACUUGGGAGAUUUCCCAACAAAGGCCAAGGCAACGAGUUCCCCAAAUGCAUCCAGAGGAACACAGAUUUAAUUUACUAAUGAAGCUAUGGUAAAACUGAAUCAUCUGUAAAACAUGUUUUUAACCCACACAUGCUGUACUUUGAAUGCUCAUGAUGCAAAUUUCCUAAUCAAACCAAAUUUAAUUUAGCAAAUUUUCUUCCAACCAGCUUAAUGGUUGAAAGAAAUGCUCUUCUGAGAGCAGAAAUGGAAUUAGGCAAUGCAAGAGUUGGAGCAGUGUUUGCUUCCUUGUAAUUCAAGUCAUUAAGCGUCAACUUAGCCAAAUGGAAAAGGCCUAUCUUCUUCACUCCGGUGACAGGAAAUAUUAUUUUCCUAGAGCCAGGGUUUUGGACAUGCUCCACCCCCAAAUCUGACUCCUGCCCUUUACCAGUGCAACAUGUUAUUUCAGUUUUCCAUGAAACGGGAAUAAGGGCACAAUGUCAGUAAUUGAAAUCUAGUCUAUGGAUAUAUUCUUCAUUGUUUUCAUUUUUACAAUUUAAAUGAUACACCUAUUAUAACCAAACUUAGCCAUCUAAUAUAACUCAGCCAAGUAUGGUGUCUUAUAACUGUAAUCUUAGCAUUUGGGAGGAUGGAUCAGAAAAAGUCUCCAUGAAUUCAAGGCCAACUUGGGCUAUAUAGUCAAUUCCAGGUCAGCCUAGAUCACAUAAUAAGACCAUGUCUC
Molecule: long non-coding RNA, 2673 nt
Filed under: Mus musculus (house mouse)
Lineage: Eukaryota; Metazoa; Chordata; Mammalia; Rodentia; Muridae
Description: long non-coding RNA chr14:17827168-17829841
Source: RNAcentral